Protopterus annectens (West African lungfish) is the source of this 628-nucleotide long non-coding RNA. RefSeq lists it as uncharacterized. Lineage: Eukaryota; Metazoa; Chordata; Ceratodontiformes; Protopteridae. The transcript is spliced from 5 exons. The record is from RefSeq and is a predicted model, not a curated record.
UCCUUAUCCACCCUCCAAUUCCUGCCUGGGGUAGUAUUCAACUGUGUUACCUCCCCGGACAAAAGCCACAGUAAUCUGCUCUCUGGUCUAAGGCUUUUUCUCAUAUUUCUGAAAGACUGAAGUGACCUACUUGGAAUCCUAAGACCUUCCUUAUCCACCCUCCAAUUCCUGCCUGGGGUAGUAUUCAACUGUGUUACCUCCCCGGACAAAAGCCACAGUAAUCUGCUCUCUGGUCUAAGGCUUUUUCUCAUAUUUCUGAAAGACUGAAGUGACCUACUUGGAAUCCUAAGACCUUCCUUAUCCACCCUCCAAUUCCUGCCUGGGGUAGUAUUCAACUGUGUUACCUCCCCGGACAAAAGCCACAGUAAUCUGCUCUCUGGUCUAAGGCUUUUUCUCAUAUUUCUGAAAGACUGAAGUGACCUACUUGGAAUCCUAAGACCUUCCUUAUCCACCCUCCAAUUCCUGCCUGGGGUAGUAUUCAACUGUGUUACCUCCCCGGACAAAAGCCACAGUAAUCUGCUCUCUGGUCUAAGGCUUUUUCUCAUAUUUCUGAAAGACUGAAGUGACCUACUUGGAAUCCUAAGACCUUCCUUAUCCACCCUCCAAUUCCUGCCUGGGGUAGUAUUCA